UACGGCGAGUGAGCGGCAAAAGCUCAAAUUUGAAAUCUGGCACCUUCGGUGUCCGAGUUGUAAUUUGAAGAAGGUAACUUUGGAGUUGGCUCUUGUCUAUGUUCCUUGGAACAGGACGUCACAGAGGGUGAGAAUCCCGUGCGAUGAGAUGCCCAAUUCUAUGUAAAGUGCUUUCGAAGAGUCGAGUUGUUUGGGAAUGCAGCUCUAAGUGGGUGGUAAAUUCCAUCUAAAGCUAAAUAUUGGCGAGAGACCGAUAGCGAACAAGUACAGUGAUGGAAAGAUGAAAAGAACUUUGAAAAGAGAGUGAAAAAGUACGUGAAAUUGUUGAAAGGGAAGGGCUUGAGAUCAGACUUGGUAUUUUGCGAUCCUUUCCUUCUUGGUUGGGUUCCUCGCAGCUUACUGGGCCAGCAUCGGUUUGGAUGGUAGGAUAAUGACUAAGGAAUGUGGCUCUACUUCGGUGGAGUGUUAUAGCCUUGGUUGAUACUGCCUGUCUAGACCGAGGACUGCGUCUUUGACUAGGAUGUUGGCAUAAUGAUCUUAAGCCACCCGUCUU
This 553-nucleotide ribosomal RNA is filed under the name Debaryomyces hansenii. RNAcentral's name for it is "eukaryotic LSU rRNA". It matches the Rfam family "Eukaryotic large subunit ribosomal RNA", at positions 85 to 655 of the family's 3401-position model. The record is from RNAcentral. Lineage: Eukaryota; Fungi; Ascomycota; Pichiomycetes; Serinales; Debaryomycetaceae.